This 467-nucleotide ribosomal RNA is filed under the name uncultured bacterium. RNAcentral describes it as "partial 16S ribosomal RNA". It matches the Rfam family "Bacterial small subunit ribosomal RNA", at positions 29 to 507 of the family's 1533-position model. The record is from RNAcentral.
ACGAACGCUGGCGGCGUGCUUAACACAUGCCAGUCGAACGGAAAGGCCCUGCUUUUGUGGGGUGCUCGAGUGGCGAACGGGUGAGUAACACGUGAGUAACCUGCCCUUGACUUUGGGAUAACUUCAGGAAACUGGGGCUAAUACCGGAUAGGAGCUCCUGCUGCAUGGUGGGGGUUGGAAAGUUUCGGCGGUUGGGGAUGGACUCGCGGCUUAUCAGCUUGUUGGUGGGGUAGUGGCUUACCAAGGCUUUGACGGGUAGCCGGCCUGAGAGGGUGACCGGCCACAUUGGGACUGAGAUACGGCCCAGACUCCUACGGGAGGCAGCAGUGGGGAAUAUUGCACAAUGGGCGGAAGCCUGAGGCAGCAACGCCGCGUGCGGGAUGACGGCCUUCGGGUUGUAAACCGCUUUCGCCUGUGACGAAGCGUGAGUGACGGUAAUGGGUAAAGAAGCACCGGCUAACUACGUG